Molecule: ribosomal RNA, 308 nt
Filed under: uncultured bacterium
Lineage: Bacteria
Description: bacterial SSU rRNA
Rfam family: Bacterial small subunit ribosomal RNA
Source: RNAcentral
AUUGAACGCUGGCGGCAUGCCUUACACAUGCAAGUCGAACGGCAGCGCGGGAGCAAUCCUGGCGGCGAGUGGCGAACGGGUGAGUAAUACAUCGGAACGUGCCCAAUCGUGGGGGAGUAACGCAGCGAAAGCUGUGCUAAUACCGCAUACGAUCUACGGAUGAAAGACAGGGGAGUCGCAAGACCCUCGCGCGAAUGGAGCGGCCGAUGGCAGAUUAGGUAGUUGGUGAGGUAAAGGCUCACCAAGCCUUCGAUCUGUAGCUGGUCUGAGAGGACGACCAGCCACACUGGGACGUGAGACACGGCCCA